UCCUCCUCCUCCUCCCCACCAACGCCAACAUUUCAACCUAAAAUAUACAUAUAUGUUUUUAUCUGUGUUCUAUAUAUGAAACACUAUUACCUUCCUUUUUUCUUCUCCCCCUAGAAAAUCAGGGAUUUCAGCCCCUGCAAACGUCGCCCCCAAGAUUCAAGUUUUAAAAGCAGAACCAGAGAGAACCAUCACACAUUAGAUCAGAUUUUCUUCAUAUUAUAAUCCUCUAACUUUUUCCUUUUUCUUUGAGAGACCAACCUGGUAAAGCCAAUCUAUAUGCCAAAAAGAAACAAACGGAAAUGAGUCCUUUUACAUAGUUACAUGCAUGAAUGAAAAAAAUGAAAAGACACCAACACACACACACACAUAUAUCUGCAAAAAGGUAUGAACUUUAAAUUUAUCUCUCUUCUUUUUUUCCUCAAAACCCUAGAAAGCUAAGCUGAGACAAAUCAGAAAAACUUCAGGUAUGAAUGGCAUGGAUGAAGAGUUGUAAUGCUGGAUGAAAUUAUGGGGAUUGAAGAACACAUUGAAUUGAAUGAUAGGUACCUUUUCAUUUCAUUGCAUUUGCAUUACCGAUCAAUUAUAUCGCAAUUCUUUUUCUUCUUUCUUUAAACUGAUGAACAC
Molecule: long non-coding RNA, 624 nt
Filed under: Nicotiana tabacum (common tobacco)
Lineage: Eukaryota; Viridiplantae; Streptophyta; Magnoliopsida; Solanales; Solanaceae
Description: long non-coding RNA (NTAB_LNC009344)
Source: RNAcentral